CAGCUCCUGCCCCCUUAAAGCUGGCUGCGCCAACAGAAACCAGAGGCCCUUCUAUCCUGGUUAAAGAGAAGCUCAACAGAAAGUGAAACGGUCGCAGUUCUUGGGGGAGAAGGCGCCAGUCCAGGAAUGGCUUACGGGACCUGGAAACCCCAGCAGCUGGGUCACUCUUCAGAGAGACACUGCGGGUAGCAUUCAGGGAAAAGGAAGCCACGCCUCGGAGAGGUUCCAGAUCCCCGAGGUCACACAGCUCUGCUGAACUUGGGAGGCCAGGCCCGGUCAUUCUCCAAAAAGCUGCCAAAAGCUUUGCUGCUCUAGUUACUGUGCUCCGAGCCUCGACGUUUCCACCGUGCUCGAAGGAAGCGUUUCGUUCCUAAAAGCCCACGCGUGGAACCAUCGCUCUAGGAUUCUACAUAUUACUACCCUAUACCAUUAUGUUGGGAUUUACUGGAAGGACACAUAAAGGAAGACUUGAGAAAACAGUGCAAAGGACAGGUGCCGAAGAAACUUGAUUACCAGCCCCCAGAGGCACGUGGGCAGCCUCUGAAGAAGCUGUCUUCGGCUGACUCACUUGCAGAUGCCUCCAGCCCCCAUGUGUUUCUGCUCUAAAUUCAAACUUCUGAGAGAGAGAAACUGAUUGGCCUGUCUUGGGUCACGGGCCUACCCCUGACUUGACUUAGGGGGUUGGAUCCGGUGAUUGGAAAGCCCGUCGGAAUCAGAUGAGUUAGGAUCAGUCCCGCAGAGUGCUGUUAGCAGGAGAAAGCAGAGAGCUUGCAAAACAGGGAGGAAAGAUUUUACAAAAAUUCUCCCCAUUUUAUUUUUUUAAAAAAUAUUUUAUUUAUUUAUUUGACAGACAGAGAUCACAAG
Long non-coding RNA from Neogale vison (American mink), 864 nucleotides. RefSeq lists it as uncharacterized. The record is from RefSeq and is a predicted model, not a curated record. NCBI's taxonomy places the organism in Eukaryota, Metazoa, Chordata, Mammalia, Carnivora, Mustelidae. The transcript is spliced from 4 exons.